CCUACGGGAGGCAGCAGUGAGGAAUAUUGGUCAAUGGCCGGAAGGCUGAACCAGCCAAGCCGCGUGAAGGACGAAGGUGCCAAGCAUUGUAAACUUCUUUUGUCAGGGAAGAGUAGAAGACGGUACCUGCUGAAUAAGCCACGGCUAACUACGUGCCAGCAGCCGCGGUAAUACGUAGGCGGCAAGCGUUGUCCGGAUUUACUGGGUGUAAAGGGCGUGUAGCCGGGUUGACAAGUCAGAUGUGAAAUCCUGCGGCUUAACCGCAGAACUGCAUUUGAAACUGUUGAUCUUGAGUACUGGAGAGGCAGACGGAAUUCCUGGUGUAGCGGUGAAAUGCGUAGAUAUUAGGAGGAACACCGAUGGCGAAGGCAGUCUACUGAACAGCGACUGACGGUGAGGCGCGAAAGCGUGGGGAUCAAACAGGAUUAGAUACCCGAGUAGUC
RNAcentral lists this ribosomal RNA (443 nucleotides) under uncultured bacterium. RNAcentral describes it as "partial 16S ribosomal RNA". It matches the Rfam family "Bacterial small subunit ribosomal RNA", at positions 338 to 795 of the family's 1533-position model. The record is from RNAcentral.